AAAUCACUUUAAGUCGCCUUAAGGUACGUUUACACGCUGCGAUUUGUCGGGCCGAUUUUGCUCGCUGUAUGUAAAUAACCUGUCGUGAGUACUCGCGUCAGCACCUUGCGAUUCACAAAAUCGGGAGAAAAAUCUGUAACAAAACCACAGAUUUUUCUCACGAUUCAACGAUUUUUCUUCCGUUGUAAAGUUGUUGAAAACUUUUCGCACGCAGAAAACUAUAACAUGAACAGACGAGAGAGCGGACAGCUUCAAUUGAACGUUUAAAUCGCUAAAUGUCGAAGAAGGGGCAUCGAUUAUUUACCAAAAUCGGCCCGACAAAUCGCAGCGUGUAAACGUAGCUUAAG
This is a non-coding RNA of Paramuricea clavata, 347 nucleotides long. NCBI's taxonomy places the organism in Eukaryota, Metazoa, Cnidaria, Anthozoa, Malacalcyonacea, Plexauridae. The record is from the annotation of a GenBank genome assembly.